CAGGCCUAACACAUGCAAGUCGAACGGCAGCAUGGAGGAGCUUGCUCCUCUGAUGGCGAGUGGCGAACGGGUGAGUAAAGCAUCGGAACGUACCGUGUAAUGGGGGAUAACGUAGCGAAAGUUACGCUAAUACCGCAUACGACCUGAGGGUGAAAGCAGGGGAUCGCAAGACCUUGCGUUAUACGAGCGGCCGAUUUCAGAUUAGCUAGUUGGUAGGGUAAAGGCCUACCAAGGCGACGAUCUGUAGCGGGUCUGAGAGGAUGAUCCGCCACACUGGGACUGAGACACGGCCCAGACUCCUACGGGAGGCAGCAGUGGGGAAUUUUGGACAAUGGGGGAAACCCUGAUCCAGCCAUGCCGCGUGAGUGAAGAAGGCCUUCGGGUUGUAAAGCUCUUUCGGCCGGGAAGAAAUCGCACAGGCUAAUACUCUGUGUGGAUGACGGUACCGGCAAAAAGCACCGGAA
RNAcentral lists this ribosomal RNA (464 nucleotides) under uncultured bacterium. Its description in RNAcentral is "bacterial SSU rRNA". It matches the Rfam family "Bacterial small subunit ribosomal RNA", at positions 43 to 498 of the family's 1533-position model. The record is from RNAcentral.